CGGUAGGUAUGCCUAGCGGCGAGGGCAGGGGUCUGUAAAACCCUGACAAGGAAACAGCGUUGGUUCGAGUCCAACCCUACCGA
Molecule: transfer RNA, 83 nt
Filed under: Lachnospiraceae bacterium
Lineage: Bacteria; Bacillati; Bacillota; Clostridia; Lachnospirales; Lachnospiraceae
Description: tRNA-Tyr
Rfam family: tRNA
About the family: Transfer RNA (tRNA) molecules are approximately 80 nucleotides in length. Their secondary structure includes four short double-helical elements and three loops (D, anti-codon, and T loops). Further hydrogen bonds mediate the characteristic L-shaped molecular structure. tRNAs have two regions of fundamental functional importance: the anti-codon, which is responsible for specific mRNA codon recognition, and the 3' end, to which the tRNAs corresponding amino acid is attached (by aminoacyl-tRNA synthetases). tRNAs cope with the degeneracy of the genetic code in two manners: having more than one tRNA (with a specific anti-codon) for a particular amino acid; and 'wobble' base-pairing, i.e. permitting non-standard base-pairing at the 3rd anti-codon position.
Source: RNAcentral